AAACAAAGCAUUUUGUUCUCUAAGUUUUAGUUUCUGAUUAAUGUGUGGUACUAUAUUUGUCGUGUACCGUAUUUUGUUGUUUAUACUUGUUCUCACAUGCCUUUUCUAUUUAACAUUUUUCUCUGUUUGCUUUCGUCUAUGGAAUACUAAAGUUUCCAACAUCUUUUGUCUUUAUGUUAAUUAUUUUAUUAACUCCAAUAUAACAUUUCGUUUUCUUUUCUUCUCUCUCAUUUGUUUCCCCCCAUCUUUUCUCUCAUUUCCUCUUACGUUUUUUUCUUCAGCCGCAUUUAAAAAAACUGAUUUUUUUAAUACAUUCUUUUCCGUCG
This 326-nucleotide long non-coding RNA is filed under the name Vigna radiata. Its description in RNAcentral is "long non-coding RNA (VRAD_LNC003169)". Lineage: Eukaryota; Viridiplantae; Streptophyta; Magnoliopsida; Fabales; Fabaceae. The record is from RNAcentral.